UCCUCUUUGUUUGAUCUUGCCGUUCACUUUAAAUUUAAUACAUAAUAAAUUCAUGUCCGUGUACUUCCUAUGAUCUAAAUAAUUUAAGUCCGUGGACCGAACCGUGAUAAGGUUUUGUUUGAUACAUUGUAUACAAAUUUAGGAAGCCCUGUGGUGUCAAAUAUUGCUAUCAAAACGUGCGUAGACUUCCAUCCGUUCAUCGAUCUGUCGACAUUACCCUAGUGGUUAGUGUAGUUGCUUAUAUUCUUUGUUUUGUACCCAUUUCGCCGUUGUGGAAUUAAGAAGUUCGAUCGUCACUACAAAUAACGUAAGUAAACGCCUAUACUCAUAGUUCAGUUUCAGCCUAUUUAACUAACUAACGUAAGCACAUUGGUAUUUUCGAACGGGAAUACACUAAUCGAAAUUAAUUUCUUUAAUUUUAUCACCUGGAUCUCAUCUAUUCCUUCAUAUUACUUACUAAAAUUGAUAAACUGCUAAAAUAAAAACGAUUUUAUGAUUUUAUAAGUAACGCAUCCAAACGUACCUACCUACAUUAGUUUAAUAAUUCAUUCUAAUCUAAUAGAGUAGUCAUAAUACAUGAGUACGUAGAUAUCUAUAUUUCUCCUAUACCUACAUGCAAAUUCAUAUAUCAGAGUGUAUGUUUUUUGUAUAUUAUAUUAUUUAUUAAAAAUGAUUCUCAUUCUUCAAGAUUUUUUAUUAAUUAUUCUUCAAAGUUAAACUUAAUAUCCUUAAUAAUCUCAAAAUUGUAUUGAUGGUGCAAACAUAUUCUAUUGAUUGGUGUUUUUAUUACUUGAUGCUUGCCGUUCACUUUAGAUUUAAAAUAUAAUAAAUUCUUGUCCAU
Cinara cedri is the source of this 841-nucleotide non-coding RNA. NCBI's taxonomy places the organism in Eukaryota, Metazoa, Arthropoda, Insecta, Hemiptera, Aphididae. The record is from the annotation of a GenBank genome assembly.